AAUGGGGGCAACCCUGAUCCAGCCAUGCCGCGUGUGUGAAGAAGGCCUUCGGGUUGUAAAGCACUUUCAGUUGUGAGGAAGGGGAGUAGGUUAAUAACCUGCUUCAUUGACGUUAACAACAGAAGAAGCACCGGCUAACUUCGUGCCAGCAGCCGCGGUAAUACGAGGGGUGCAAGCGUUAAUCGGAAUUACUGGGCGUAAAGCGCGCGUAGGCGGUUAUUUAAGCCAGAUGUGAAAUCCCCGGGCUCAACCUGGGAACUGCAUUUGGAACUGGGUAACUAGAAUGCAGCAGAGGAUAGUGGAAUUUCAGGUGUAGCGGUGAAAUGCGUAGAGAUCUGAAGGAACAUCAGUGGCGAAGGCGACUGUCUGGGCUGACAUUGACGCUGAGGUGCGAAAGCGUGGGUAGCAAACAGGAUU
Molecule: ribosomal RNA, 417 nt
Filed under: uncultured Gammaproteobacteria bacterium
Lineage: Bacteria; Pseudomonadati; Pseudomonadota; Gammaproteobacteria
Description: bacterial SSU rRNA
Rfam family: Bacterial small subunit ribosomal RNA
Source: RNAcentral